UAAUUAUUUCGUCAUGGUUCAAUGAGCAUGUGUCAUAAAAUUGUAAACUUCCGGUAGACACCACUUCCUGAAGAUCAUCAAGCAAAUAAAUUCUGGGUUAUAACAGUUGACACCCUUCGUCGAUCAGUCCUGAAAACAAAUUAUUUAAGUGCUGUUGUUUGUAGAUAGAAUAAAACAAGCUGUCAUUGUUCGAGAGGACAGUUUCCAAUCUUUUAACCAGCCCAAGACACCUCUAACAUCAACAAUCUAUAAAAAAAAUAAUUUAGUAAUGCAAGGCAAAGCAUGACUUAACAUCUAAAAUAAUAUGUACAUGAUAGACAUUUCAUUCUAGAACAUGGCAAAUGCAAUUCCAGAUGAUAGUCCGAGAGACACGAAGGAGAUUGAGAAAGGAAGGGAAAUGCAAAAUGGGAGUGCUAUGGCUCAUGUCGAUAGAUUUGGUUUCAUGGGUGGUGACCAAUAUACUGACCCAGACGAUGAACACAGGAUCUCUUUUGAGAAAUUAAGGAAAAGAGAGAUGAAAUGGCUGGAAAUGUUUGAAAAUUGGGAAAAAUGUAUGAGUAAAAGAUUUAAAAAGAUAAGAGAAAGAUGUCGUAAAGGUAUUCCCCCUUCCCUGAGGUCAAGGGCAUGGCAGUAUUUAUGUGGUAGUAAAUUCCUAAUGGAACAGAAUGCAGGGAGAUAUCAGGAGUAUUUAAAAAGACCUAUUAAACCUCAGUGGGAAGAUGAUAUCAAAAAAGAUUUACACAGACAAUUCCCAGCUCAUGAAAUGUUUACAGCUCGAGGAGGACAUGGCCAAGAAGAUUUAUUCUGGAUCUUGAAAGCUUACACAAUACACAAUCCACAUGAUGGGUACUGCCAAGCUCAGGGACCAAUAGCAGCUAUCUUACUAAUGCAUAUGCCAGCUGAGCAAGCUUUCUGGUGUCUAGUAUCUAUUUGUGAGAAGUAUUUGCCUGGGUAUUACAGCCCUGGUUUGGAAGCUGUACAAGUAGAUGGAGACGUUCUGUUUGGUUUACUGAAAAAGACUUCUCUACCAAUACACAAACAUCUAAAAAAGCAGAAAAUGGAGCCAAUAUUAUAUAUGACUGAGUGGUUUAUGUGUGUGUUUACUAGAACGUUGCCAUGGGGAUGUGUAUUACGUGUAUGGGACAUGUUUCUGUGUGAAGGUGUCAAGGUUGUAUUCAGGGUAGCUUUAGUACUGUUCAGAAUAGCACUUGGAGAACCAGGGUGUUUAUCUCAAUGUCCUACAAUUAGAACAUUGUUAUAUUUCAGGUGUCAAGGUUGUAUUCAGGGUAGCUUUAGUACUGUUCAGAAUAGCACUUGGAGAACCAGGGUGUUUAUCUCAAUGUCCUACAAUGUAUGAAACUCUGGAGAAAUUAAGAAGACUACCGAUACAGACAUUAGAGGAAGAAUACUUAGUGCAAGAGUCAUUACGGCUCAAUAUAACAGAAAGAGAUAUGGAAAAGGAGCAUCAAAAACAAAUACAACGGAGACAAAAGACAAAAGAAUUAAAUGGAGAUAAACCAGGCAGACAUAAACAUAGAUAAGACUCAAUAAGAAAUCAUAUGAUCAACAAAAUAUAAGGCAUUUGAUUGGCGUAAACUUUAGUCAAAGGACAUGUGAUCAACACACAACAAAAUACAAGGCAUUUGAUUGGCGUAAACCAUAGUCAAAGGUCAUGUGAUCACAAUGUCAAUUAACAAUGGUCACAAGCCAUGUGACAUAAAUAAUGAAUCAAGAGGUACACAUGAAAGACAUGUGAUCACAGCCUAUGUCAUUUGACCUAUGUCAUGUGACAUGUUGGUAUAUAGGGUAAUGAUAUUAUUGGAUGAAAUUGUUUUGUAAUUUAGGCUUUGUACUUAAAUGAUUAUUUAUUUAUGCAUUUGAAAAUAGUUUUUGGCAUCAGUGAUAGCAUAAGUUACAAUGUUGAAAUAGCCUGUAGAGCUUCUAUAUUACGGUACUUACAUAACACACCUGUCCUGAGAGAGAAAUUGUGUUGUUUUCUUAUAGAUAGAAUGUAUUAUGUACACAACCUGUGCUCAGUGGAAAACAGAACUUUACUGUCAUACUUUAAAUAACACUUAAAUGUACAGAAAAACUCCAUCACGGUUUUAAUGGUAAGUAAAACAUCAACAUCAGAUAAACUAAACAUGAUAUUGCAAUGCAAUUGUCUGUUUUUAUAAAGGAAUUAGCUCAUAAGCUGAUCAAGGUAAGUUUGUUAUCUCUGUUUCUAAAUCAUAACAUGAAAAUGUAGAUGGUAGAUGUAUGAUUGUCUGUUAUACAGCUUUCAAUCAGAAGACAUUUAGUUGGUUAGCACAUGUUUAUUGGAGCAUGUAGAUGUGGUAUGAUUGUCUGUUAUACAGCUUUCCAUCAGUAGACAUUUAGUUGGUUAGCACAUGUUUAUUGGAGCUUGCCUUGUAAUAACGUAAUGAAAGUGCCAGUAUGUUUGACAUAGAGACAGAGGGAUUAUAUUCUUUCAGCUUCAUGGGCAUGCAUUAUUUAUAUUAAGAUUGUUAUGGUUUGUCAAGUGCUUAAAAGUGUACAGCACUUCCACUAAAGGGGAAACAUUUUUUGUAACUUUUUUUUGUCAGUUAUUACUGUUCUGCUCUGGUACUUUCAAUGGUUAUUUGUAAAACAUUUGUUAUAGUGUGUCUAUAAGUUUCCCAUUUUACAGUGUUUCCCCAAUUAUUACCAUUUUGACCAAUGUUAUGUGUUAAAUGAUCUCCUUAAUAUUGUUAUAAAUAUUGUGUUCAUAGUUACAAGUAUGGUUCUUCAGAAUGAUAUUUUAUUCAAUUUUGUUUUUUUUAUGUACUCUGUUACCAUAGUAACAGAUCAUACUAAGAAGCAGUAACUUACAUCUUUGAAUCUAUAUUAUUUAGAUUUUUAUACCUUUGAUAGUAGAAUAGAUGUAGAAAAAAUUUAUGGACUGUUUCAAAAUCAUGUUUAACCCUUUCACAAUUUUUUAGCCAGUCAAGUUCAGUGGAUGUUUUUGGUAGAAGUCUUCUUCUUUUUUUUAAUACUACUUCCUUUAUAAUUGAAGCUUGGUUUUCUUUUGAAUUUGGUCGCAAAAAUUAACCCCUUUAUGUCAGCCUUAAAUGUAGCUAUUGUAAGUUCUAUGUUCUUUGAAAAUGUCUUUUAAAGAUUCAUUUGAAAAGAAGUAGGAUACUUUUGUUUCAUACAGGCUGAUAUAUAAAUUUGACACAAGCUUCCAAUUGAUCUUAAAUAAAAAGAAGAGAUGCAGAAGAUAUGAGGGGUAUUAGCUAUGUUCCUUAACUUAACGAAUAUUUAUCUGCAGUUAUUGAAUAUUUAUUGUUUUUCGUGGAAACAAUAAAUUUAUCACAGAAAUCUGUUAUAAAUGUUUAAGGUUAGUGCUAUUAUAAGUUAUGUAUGUAAUUCCUACUCUUUCAGGCAUUUACUUACUCAGAGUUAUCUGCUUAAAUCAAGAAUAAAUGAUUGAGAUAAUUGAGACCUACACUAGCUGUAUAAUAUGUUUACUAAUAAAUAGGAUUUUAGAGUUACUCAUGUUACCUCAGGUAAAAGGCUGGUAUGUUGGUUUAGUGUACAUUUCCUAAAACUCUGAUCAUUUUAUUGUCCAUGUAUUUUUGUGUUCCAUUGUUAUUAUGUUACUAUGGUAACACAACUUGAACUGUGAUAUUUCAUUUUAAUAUAUAUAAUCAGUCAUGUUUGUCUCAUUUUAAAUGGUGCUUUUAUUAGAAAAUUACUUAGUUGUCAGUGUAUUGUAGCCACUAAAGUUAUAUUCUGUUGGUACUUAUUGAUAAAGGUACUUGUCAGUGAGUUGUAGCCACUAAAGUUAUAUUCUGUUGGUACUUAUUGAUAAAGGUACUUGUCAGUGAGUUGUAGCCACUAAAGUUAUAUUCUGUUGGUACUUAUUGAUAAAGGUACUUGUCAGUGAGUUGUAGCCACUAAAGUUAUAUUCUGUUGGUACUUAUUGAUAAAGGUACUUGUCAGUGAGUUGUAGCCACUAAAGUUAUAUUCUGUUGGUACUUAUUGAUAAAGGUACUUGUCAGUGAGUUGUAGCCACUAAAGUUAUAUUCUGUUGGUACUUAUUGAUAAAGGUACUUGUCAGUGAGUUGUAGCCACUAAAGUUAUAUUCUGUUGGUACUUAUUGAUAAAGGUACUUGUCAGUGAGUUGUAGCCACUAAAGUUAUAUUCUGUUGGUACUUAUUGAUAAAGGUACUUGUCAGUGAGUUGUAGCCACUAAAGUUAUAUUCUGCUGGUACUAAUACAUGAAAAGGAUAAGUAUUAACAAAAACAAAAAAAUCUUGGUGUGCAAUAACUACUUAUUUGCUUGUAACUAUUGAUAUACAACAUGAAAGAUGUUUCAGUCAAGUGUGUCUCAUAUUUAAAUAAUGAUACAUAAAUCAGAUAGAAUAUUUUAAAGAAAAGAUGAAAACAGAAUCUUUACAAAUGAAAGAUUGAAAAUGAUAUCAAUUUUACUUCAAAUUGUUGCUAGAUUGAUCGGUAAUUGAUACAACUGUGUUAUGAUUUUCAAUUAUAUACUUCAAACAAUAAGCUGAAUUGCACAACUUUAACUUGUUAACCAUUGAAAAUUCAGAAAUUAUUGUGAUGUUUAUAAUGAAUUCCUUACAAAUACUAACAUUGGCCAAUUAUGGUAUAAUACGUUUCGGUCAGUAUCACACUAAUAAGAACUUGUGUACUGAUAUAUGAUCCUUUUAUCUGUAUAUACAUUUCCCCUGAAAUCAAAAUAAUUAGUCUGGCAUUUUUGUCCCUUCUUUCAAAAACAAUAAUAAAUUCACAAAAUAACUUCUGAUUUUAUAAAAAAGAGCCUUAACUGAUCAAAAUCCCAUUUCAGUGGUAAGUUUUGAUUUUGUAGGUGAAUUUCUCUUUUCUGUAUCAUGUAUAAGCAUUGUGUAUGCUUUAGAAAAAAACAUGGGCAGUCAGUCUUUGUAAUUGUUGGACUAGCCAGACAGAAACAUAAGGAAUAUAUUUAGUCAACAAUUUUCUUUAUAUCUGUAUUUUAUGGUUAACAAAAGCAUCAAUUUAAUAUGACAUAAAUGAACUGUUUAAUUUGACUAUCUUAUUUCUUCAGGAAAACAUUGAAAACAUUUUAUGGCUAUGAUACACUGAUAAUCUAGUUCAUACAUUUUGUUUCUGUAUAUAAUAUGUUGAUAUAUUAGAUGGAUGAAUGGUUUUGAUGUAUGGAUUAUGGAUGGAUGUUUAUUGAUAUCAGUGCUAUUUGUACAAGUCUUCAAUAAUUAUAAUGUAAUUUUUAUUGUUAUUUUUCUUGUUUGAUUUAAUUUGAUUUGUUAAAGGCAACAAUAUUUAAAUUAUGAGAUUUCAUAUAUUGGUCUGUGAACUUUCUUUUUUAACUUGAUUUUUCUCACGACUAUCCGUGUAAGAAACAUUUUACCCUUAGAUUGCAUAUACUUUUGAAAUUUUGCUUUUAUUUUGGUCAGAAUGAUAAUCUUUGUCAGGAUAAUUUUGUUUUGCCAUCCUUCUGUAUGGUAUAUUGUAAGAAUUGAGGAUCCAAAAUUAUUUUUUUUUGUUCUGCCUAUUUGCCUUUGUAUAUGUUGUUGAAGAUAUAACCUGUGUUGACAGGUUAACCUUUUUUAUUGGUCCAUUUUGAAUUGCAUGCCUAAUAGACAAAUAUAUCAUGUUAGGUGCGCAUGCUUUUAUCAAGGUUUUUUAUACUGCCAGUCGUUACUUAUUUAGUUCGAAAUGCUCAAACAUGUCUUAAAUUUCAAAAAAAGACAGUGAAAUGAUUGGUUGGUAACUAUCUGAAAGUAGCUGUUCAGCAAAUGCCUUUUUUAUGGUAAACACCCAAUGAUUUUAUUGGUUGGAAACAUACUAGAAUUAGACAUUUGGUCGAUGUAAGUAUUUGUAAGGAAAAUUAAUGAUAAUUUCAUUUGGGGAGAUUCAUGUUGUAAUAAGCAUGAAUUGUAAAUACUUUUGUUUACAUUCACAUCUUUUGUGAAAUUCCAACAGUGGUAUUGAUUUCUUAAAUGCAAAAUCUAAUUCUGCUUAUAAUUUUGUACUUUAAGUGCCAGUCUUUGUAAGAAUCAGGCAAUUUUGAAAAAAAUCAAAACAUGGCUGUAAAAAAACCCACAUACCUACAUGUAGCCAUCCUAUUUUGAAGUAACACUCAUCCUGAGUUAGAAAUGGUAGGUCUUUAGUGUCUGCGUGUCUGGUAACUUGAGAAAUCUUUAGAUAAACUUUGUUAUUGUUUGUGUCAUUUUGGUCUUUUGUAGAUAGUUGUCUCAUUGGCAAUCAUACCACAUAUUCUUUUUUAUAUUUGGUUAGAAUGAUAGCAAAUUACAGAGUAAGCUCCCCUUAAUUGUCAAUUUCUAGUACAUUGUAACCAAAUUUAUCUCCAAUUACCAGAACAGGACAUUGAAACGACUGGUAUAUUUUUGCAUCAUUAUACAUUUUGAACAUAAAUUAAUGUUAACCUCAGUGGGUUUUGGUUUGUCAUGUUUUCACAACUGCCUGAUUCUUUGGAAGACUAGCACUUAAAUCUAAAGGGAUCAAGGAGUGAUUGUAUUUACUUUUAUGUUUUUUUCAAGGUCUGAAGCAAAACACAAGUUUCCCAUACAAAGGUCAGACGAUAGAAUAGUUUAAAAAAAAGGUUUACAAAGAUAAUUAUUGUUAAUGAAACACUUGCCUAUUGCUAUACCUUAUAAAGAAGUCAUAAUAAUACUUUGGGACUGAUUGAUAAAGGAUUACAAUUUAUGCAACAAGUUAAUCUAAAAAGGCAAAAUAAUUAUAAAUAUAAACUUUCUAUUCCUGACACCUAAAUGAACACAUCUAUAAAUGCAUGCGUAGCUAUUAGUUCAACCUUUAUACAAAUGGGUUAUGUUUAGUUUCAAACAGAAAACAUUAAACUAUAUGAUAGUCAUUUACUGUACACUUUUUUACCAUUCCAAUUGAAAUGUCAAGGGACCUACCGAAGAUAUGUAAUAAAAUUGAAUUAUAUCAA
This is an RNA transcript of Mytilus trossulus (common blue mussel), 6952 nucleotides long. It is a transcript of the gene named TBC1 domain family member 10A-like, with no coding region annotated. NCBI's taxonomy places the organism in Eukaryota, Metazoa, Mollusca, Bivalvia, Mytilida, Mytilidae. The transcript has 9 exons. The record is from RefSeq and is a predicted model, not a curated record.